Molecule: ribosomal RNA, 300 nt
Filed under: uncultured Gammaproteobacteria bacterium
Lineage: Bacteria; Pseudomonadati; Pseudomonadota; Gammaproteobacteria
Description: bacterial SSU rRNA
Rfam family: Bacterial small subunit ribosomal RNA
Source: RNAcentral
CGCGUAGGAAUCUACCUGGUAGUGGGGGACAACUCGAGGAAACUCGAGCUAAUACCGCAUACGCCCUAAGGGGGAAAGCGGGGGAUCUUCGGACCUCGCGCUAUUGGAUGAGCCUGCGUUGGAUUAGCUUGUUGGUGGGGUAAAAGCCCACCAAGGCGACGAUCCAUAGCUGGUCUGAGAGGACGAUCAGCCACACUGGAACUGAGACACGGUCCAGACUCCUACGGGAGGCAGCAGUGGGGAAUUUUGCGCAAUGGGCGAAAGCCUGACGCAGCAACGCCGCGUGUGUGAUGAAGGUCU